GGAAUCUUCCACAAUGGACGCAAGUCUGAUGGAGCAACGCCGCGUGAGUGAAGAAGGGUUUCGGCUCGUAAAGCUCUGUUGUUAAAGAAGAACACGUAUGAGAGUAACUGUUCAUACGUUGACGGUAUUUAACCAGAAAGGGACGGCUAACUACGUGCUAG
RNAcentral lists this ribosomal RNA (161 nucleotides) under uncultured bacterium. RNAcentral describes it as "partial 16S rRNA". It matches the Rfam family "Bacterial small subunit ribosomal RNA", at positions 358 to 511 of the family's 1533-position model. The record is from RNAcentral.